RNAcentral lists this transfer RNA (74 nucleotides) under bacterium DOLJORAL78_65_58. RNAcentral describes it as "tRNA-Gln". It matches the Rfam family "tRNA". From Rfam's summary of the family: Transfer RNA (tRNA) molecules are approximately 80 nucleotides in length. Their secondary structure includes four short double-helical elements and three loops (D, anti-codon, and T loops). The record is from RNAcentral. RNAcentral also lists the same sequence under 1 other name.
UGCCCGGUCGUCCAAUGGCAGGACAGCUGACUCUGGAUCAGUCGAUGAGGGUUCGAAUCCUUCCCGGGCAACCA